GUUGUAUGGUUAAGUGACUAAGCGUACACGGUGGAUGCCUUGGCAGUCAGAGGCGAUGAAAGACGUAGUAACUUGCGAUAAGCCCAGAUUAGGUAGUAACAACCAUUUGAGUCUGGGAUUUCUGAAUGGGGAAACCCACNUNCAUAAGNANGUAUCCUUACCUGAAUACAUAGGGUAAGGAGGCGAACCGGGGGAACUGAAACAUCUAAGUACCCCGAGGAAAAGAAAUCAACCGAGAUUCCGAAAGUAGCGGCGAGCGAAAUUGGACUAGCCCUUAAGCUUUACACNCGUUAGACGAACGGUCUGGAAAGUCCGACGAUACAGGGUGAUAGUCCCGUAGUUGACGACGUGUGUUCAGUGAAAUCGAGUAGGGCGGGACACGUGAUAUCCUGUCUGAAUAUGGGGGGACCAUCCUCCAAGGCUAAAUACUACUGACUGACCGAUAGUGAACCAGUACCGUGAGGGAAAGGCGAAAAGAACCCCUGUGAGGGGAGUGAAAUAGAACCUGAAACCGUGUACGUACAAGCAGUAGGAGCAGGCUUUGUCCUGUGACUGCGUACCUUUUGUAUAAUGGGUCAGCGACUUAUAUUCAGUGGCAAGGUUAACCAUCUAGGGGAGCCGUAGGGAAACCGAGUCUUAACUGGGCGUUCAGUCUCUGGAUAUAGACCCGAAACCAGGUGAUCUAGCCAUGGGCAGGUUGAAGGUUGAGUAACAUCAACUGGAGGACCGAACCGACUAAUGUUGAAAAAUUAGCGGAUGACUUGUGGCUAGGGGUGAAAGGCCAAUCAAACCUGGAGAUAGCUGGUUCUCCCCGAAAGCUAUUUAGGUAGCGCCUCGGACGAAUACUACUGGGGGUAGAGCACUGUUAAGGCUAGGGGGUCAUCCCGACUUACCAACCCUUUGCAAACUCCGAAUACCAGUAAGUACUAUCCGGGAGACACACGGCGGGUGCUAACGUCCGUCGUGGAGAGGGAAACAACCCAGACCGCCAGCUAAGGUCCCAAAUUACUACUAAGUGGGAAACGAUGUGGGAAGGCUCAGACAGCCAGGAUGUUGGCUUAGAAGCAGCCAUCAUUUAAAGAAAGCGUAAUAGCUCACUGGUCGAGUCGGCCUGCGCGGAAGAUGUAACGGGGCUAAGUAGUAAACCGAAGCUGCGGCAAUACUCUUUGAGUAUUGGGUAGGGGAGCGUUCUGUAAGCGGUUGAAGGUGUGUGGUAACGCAUGCUGGACGUAUCAGAAGUGCGAAUGCUGACAUGAGUAACGAUAAAGGGGGUGAAAAACCUCCUCGCCGGAAGACCAAGGGUUCCUGUCCAACGUUAAUCGGGGCAGGGUAAGUCGACCCCUAAGGCGAGGCCGAAAGGCGUAGUCGAUGGGAAACGGGUUAAUAUUCCCGUACUUCUUACAAUUGCGAUGGGGGGACGGAGAAGGCUAGGUGGGCCUGGCGACGGUUGUCCAGGUUCAAGUGCGUAGGCUUAAGAGUUAGGUAAAUCCGGCUCUUUUUAAGGCUGAGACACGACGUCGAGCNNCUACGGNNGUGAAGUCAUUGAUGCCAUGCUUCCAGGAAAAGCCUCUAAGCUUCAGAUUGUAAGGAAUCGUACCCCAAACCGACACAGGUGGUCGGGUAGAGAAUACCAAGGCGCUUGAGAGAACUCGGGUGAAGGAACUAGGCAAAAUGGUACCGUAACUUCGGGAGAAGGUACGCUCUUGAUGGUGAAGUCCCUNGCGGAUGGAGCUGACGAGAGUCGCAGAUACCAGGUGGCUGCAACUGUUUAUUAAAAACACAGCACUGUGCAAAAUCGUAAGAUGACGUAUACGGUGUGACGCCUGCCCGGUGCCGGAAGGUUAAUUGAUGGGGUUAGACUUCGGUCGAAGCUCUUGAUCGAAGCCCCGGUAAACGGCGGCCGUAACUAUAACGGUCCUAAGGUAGCGAAAUUCCUUGUCGGGUAAGUUCCGACCUGCACGAAUGGCGUAAUGAUGGCCACGCUGUCUCCACCCGAGACUCAGUGAAAUUGAAAUCGCUGUGAAGAUGCAGUGUACCCGCGGCUAGACGGAAAGACCCCGUGAACCUUUACUACAGCUUGGCACUGAACAUUGACCCUACAUGUGUAGGAUAGGUGGGAGGCUUUGAAGCACGUACGCCAGUAUGUGUGGAGCCGUCCUUGAAAUACCACCCUUGUAGUGUUGAUGUUCUAACGUCGACCCCUAAUCGGGGUUNCGGACAGUGCCUGGUGGGUAGUUUGACUGGGGCGGUCUCCUCCCAAAGAGUAACGGAGGAGCACGAAGGUGGGCUAAUCACGGUUGGACAUCGUGAGGUUAGUGCAAUGGCAUAAGCCCGCUUGACUGCGAGAAUGACAAUUCGAGCAGGUGCGAAAGCAGGUCAUAGUGAUCCGGUGGUUCUGAAUGGAAGGGCCAUCGCUCAACGGAUAAAAGGUACUCCGGGGAUAACAGGCUGAUACCGCCCAAGAGUUCAUAUCGACGGCGGUGUUUGGCACCUCGAUGUCGGCUCAUCACAUCCUGGGGCUGAAGUCGGUCCCAAGGGUAUGGCUGUUCGCCAUUUAAAGUGGUACGCGAGCUGGGUUUAGAACGUCGUGAGACAGUUCGGUCCCUAUCUGCCGUGGGCGUUGGAAGAUUGAAGGGGGCUGCUCCUAGUACGAGAGGACCGGAGUGGACGAACCUCUGGUGUUCGGGUUGUGUCGCCAGACGCAUUGCCCGGUAGCUAAGUUCGGAAUCGAUAACCGCUGAAAGCAUCUAAGCGGGAAGCGAGCCCUGAGAUGAGUCUUCCCUGAUACUUUAAGUAUCCUAAAGGGUUGUCGGAGACUACGACGUUGAUAGGUCAGGUGUGUAAGUGCUGUGAGGCAUUGAGCUAACUGAUACUAAUUGCCCGUGAGGCUUAACCAUACAACACCCAAGGGGUUU
RNAcentral lists this ribosomal RNA (2915 nucleotides) under Vibrio parahaemolyticus. RNAcentral's name for it is "23S ribosomal RNA". It matches the Rfam family "Bacterial large subunit ribosomal RNA". Lineage: Bacteria; Pseudomonadati; Pseudomonadota; Gammaproteobacteria; Vibrionales; Vibrionaceae. The record is from RNAcentral.